This 301-nucleotide ribosomal RNA is filed under the name uncultured bacterium. Its description in RNAcentral is "partial 16S ribosomal RNA". It matches the Rfam family "Bacterial small subunit ribosomal RNA", at positions 509 to 809 of the family's 1533-position model. The record is from RNAcentral.
CAGUCGCCGCGGUAAUACGGAGGGUGCAAGCGUUAAUCGGAAUUACUGGGCGUAAAGCGCACGCAGGCGGUCUGACAAGUCAGAUGUGAAAUCCCCGGGCUUAACCUGGGAACUGCAUUUGAAACUGUCAGGCUGGAGUCUUGUAGAGGGGGGUAGAAUUCCAGGUGUAGCGGUGAAAUGCGUAGAGAUCUGGAGGAAUACCGGUGGCGAAGGCGGCCCCCUGGACAAAGACUGACGCUCAGGUGCGAAAGCGUGGGGAGCAAACAGGAUUAGAGACCCGCGUAGUCCCUGUCUCUUAUAA